ACAGCAGUAGCCGCGGUAAUGCAAAGGGGGCUAGCGUUGCUCGGAAUUACUGGGCGUAAUGGGAGCGUAGGCGGACAUUUAAGUCAGGGGUGAAAUCCCGGGGCUCAACCUCGGAAUUGCCUUUGAUACUGGGUGUCUUGAGUAUGAGAGAGGUAUGUGGAACUCCGAGUGUAGAGGUGAAAUUCGUAGAUAUUCGGAAGAACACCAGUGGCGAAGGCGGCAUACUGGCUCAUUACUGACGCUGAGGCUCGAAAGCGUGGGGAGCAAACAGGAUUAGAUACCCCGGUAGUCCCUGUCUCUUAUAC
Molecule: ribosomal RNA, 305 nt
Filed under: uncultured bacterium
Lineage: Bacteria
Description: partial 16S ribosomal RNA
Rfam family: Bacterial small subunit ribosomal RNA
Source: RNAcentral